UUAAGCAUAUCAAUAAGCGGAGGAAAAGAAACCAACCGGGAUUGCCUUAGUAACGGCGAGUGAAGCGGCAAAAGCUCAAAUUUGAAAUCUGGCGUCUUCGACGUCCGAGUUGUAAUUUGAAGAAGGCAACUUUGUAGCUGGUCCUUGUCUAUGUUCCUUGGAACAGGACGUCAUAGAGGGUGAGAAUCCCGUGUGGCGAGGAUCCCAGUUAUUUGUAAAGUGCUUUCGACGAGUCGAGUUGUUUGGGAAUGCAGCUCUAAGUGGGUGGUAAAUUCCAUCUAAAGCUAAAUAUUGGCGAGAGACCGAUAGCGAACAAGUACAGUGAUGGAAAGAUGAAAAGAACUUUGAAAAGAGAGUGAAAAAGUACGUGAAAUUGUUGAAAGGGAAGGGCAUUUGAUCAGACAUGGCGUUUGCUUCGGCUUUCGCUGGGCCAGCAUCAGUUUUAGCGGUUGGAUAAAUCCUCGGGAAUGUGGCUCUGCUUCGGUAGAGUGUUAUAGCCCGUGGGAAUACAGCCAGCUGGGACUGAGGAUUGCGACUUUUGUCAAGGAUGCUGGCGUAAUGGUUAAAUGCCGCCCGUCUUGAAACACGG
RNAcentral lists this ribosomal RNA (589 nucleotides) under Kluyveromyces lactis. RNAcentral describes it as "LSU rRNA". It matches the Rfam family "Eukaryotic large subunit ribosomal RNA", at positions 34 to 664 of the family's 3401-position model. Lineage: Eukaryota; Fungi; Ascomycota; Saccharomycetes; Saccharomycetales; Saccharomycetaceae. The record is from RNAcentral.